This 250-nucleotide ribosomal RNA is filed under the name uncultured prokaryote. Its description in RNAcentral is "partial 16S ribosomal RNA". It matches the Rfam family "Bacterial small subunit ribosomal RNA", at positions 524 to 773 of the family's 1533-position model. The record is from RNAcentral.
UACGAAGGGGGCAAGCGUUGUUCGGAAUUACUGGGCGUAAAGGGUGUGUAGGCGGUCCUGUAAGAUAGCGGUGAAAUACCUGGGCUCAACCUGGGAAUUGCCGUUAUAACUAUGGGGCUAGAGUGGUGCAGAGGAUGCUGGAAUACCCAGUGUAGAGGUGAAAUUCGUAGAUAUUGGGUAGAACACCGGUGGCGAAGGCGAGCAUCUGGGCACAAACUGACGCUGAGGCACGAAAGCAUGGGGAUCAAAC